UCGUGCUUUGUACAAGUGAUCUGGAGAUAGGUGAGAGUUGUUUCUGGUACCUACUGGUGGUAGGGAAUUCAAAUUUGAAUUUGAAUUAAAGAUUUUAGGGUUUAUGCUUUGGUAUAUGUGCGAUAUACGGAUUAAUUAGAGAGCGGAUGGGUUCUGUCGCGAAUCUGUGACCAAAUCGGACGAAUCAACAUUGUAGUUUUGAUGCCCCCGACGUGCUGAAUGCAAUGGUGCUGUCGGAUCGAAAAUCCGACGGACGGAUCUCCGGGAAUUACGAGAUUUUCGCUGAGGGGUCAAAGUGGCAAAACGGAUAAAUCGCGAAGAGACCCUAUAUUUU
Molecule: long non-coding RNA, 334 nt
Filed under: Ananas comosus (pineapple)
Lineage: Eukaryota; Viridiplantae; Streptophyta; Magnoliopsida; Poales; Bromeliaceae
Description: long non-coding RNA (ACOM_LNC027977)
Source: RNAcentral